CCAUGCAACUUUGGUUAAGUCACUCUUUCCACUAGCUCGCUUCAUUAAACUUGACCUCCAUACCUUGGGCAACAUACUAGGAGCAAGAAAGUUAAGUUUUGGUGAGGUUUUGAAUAACUUCAAAAGUGGUAAGUGAGUGUUUUCGAUUCUUAUUUCAUUAAAAGUGUAACCAAGGUUGUGGGUAGUUAAUUUAUGGAAGAAUUUUUCAAGUUUAAUGUUUUAAUGGAGAUUUACAUUUUGGCAGCCAUAGAAAUUCAGUAUAUGUAGCUUGUUUUUACUUGUUUAUGGUUGUUUAAGAUGUUAUUAAUGGCAGCAUGGAUAUGUGUAUAACGGUUUGGAAUUGGGUCAUUAAACUUGACCUCCAUACCUUGGGCAACAUACUAGGAGCAAGAAAGUUAAGUUUUGGUGAGGUUUUGAAGAACUUCAAAAGUGGUAAGUGAGUGUUUUCGAUUCUUAUUUCAUUAAAAGUGUAACUAAGGCUGUGGGUAGUUAAUUUAUGGAAGAAUUUUUAAAGUUUGAUGUUUUAAUGGAGAUUUACAUUUUGGCAGCCAUGGAAAUUCAGUAUGUGUAGCUUGUUUUUACUUGUUUAUGGUUGUUUAAGAUGUUAUUAAUGGCAACAUGAAUAUGUAUAUAAUGGUUUGGAAUUGGGUAUGUAAAUGGGGUAUGUUCAUGUGGUUAAAUAGUGUAAAUGGACUUUGAAAAAUUCUGUUUUAUAGUGUGCAUAUUGAGAAUGAUUACAAGUUGUCCAAAAUGACCAAAAUGUGUUGUUAUAUGUGUUAAUAGUAAGGUACAAACCAGAAUUGGCAUGAAGGAAGUAGUUUGGUAAGUGUUGAAUAUGUAAUUGGUAAGUGAUGAGAAGUGUGUAGUAGGGCAGUGUGUAUUUUGACUUAAAACCUUAAGUGUGUGACUCCAAUUGGUAUAAGACCAAUUGAAGGUGAAACUAGGCACAAAAUGUGCCAACUUUCAUGAAGGAAGUUUUUCAAAAUUCUGCCUAGAAGGUGACUUGAAAAAUGACCAAAUCCGGAUUAGUGACUUGAAAGCCUGAAAAUUGACCAUUUAGGCAGUAGUUAGUGUUUUGACCAUAAUUUACUCAAAACAGGUCCAAUUGACCUAAAAUUUUUACCAUGAAUAGUUUAGACAUAUAUCUAUAAUUCUUGUGAAGACACCAAAGCCCAGAAAUGGCCAGAAGCAAGUCAAAUAACUUGCACAAGUUUAGGUACCAAAACUGGCCGAACCAAAAUUGACCUAAAAAUGACUUAAGCUUACCAUUUUGGUGCAUUCUGUCCAGCAUUGGUAAAUUGACCAUAACUUGGUCUACACAACUUAGAAUGACCUGAAAUUUUGCCCCGCGUGCAAUAACACAUAGACCUACAAGUUUGUAGUUUGGACCGGAACCCGAAAACCGAUGAAACUAGGUUAUCUGGCUAGGUCAAAUUAGUAUACCAAAAUCUGACAAAUUGCAAUAAAAUGCAAUGUACUUGAAAAUGAAUUUGGUAAUAUGUACCAACACUAAAGGGCUAUGAAAUGUGACAUAUUGGUAACAUUAAACAUAAUUCACCUAGAGUGCAUCGAGGGUCAACAUUUUAGGUUGACUAAGGAAAAUAAUAGAAUUCAAUAAAUUAAUUAUUAAGCCUUAUUGUUAGAGACAGUUUAAAUGAGUACUGAAACACUUCAAAUUGUGCGUUUCAGUUAGCAAAGACUCAGGGAAGGGGAAAGAAACACUGAGUCAGGGCCAAGAGACAUUUAUCAGAGAUAUCGAGACUAGAGGAGCAGCAGAGUGAGCUGCUAAGGAUUGUGGAGCCACCUCCCCUGAAGUUUUAUCGGGUAUAUUUUAUACCCUGACUGUAAAAAUUUAUUUUGAUGUAUGUAAUGUAUGUAAAGGUAUGGACAUGUAAAACUGGUCUUGAGCAGUUUGUAUAAAGUUUGUAAAAAAUUUUAGUUUGAAUUACUCUUAAUGUAAAUUUUUGUAAUGAUGUAUAUAAAUUAUUUUAUCUUUAAUAAAAUAUGAAUGGAAGUAUUUUGUUUUAAA
This is a long non-coding RNA of Hevea brasiliensis (rubber tree), 2029 nucleotides long. RefSeq lists it as uncharacterized. The record is from RefSeq and is a predicted model, not a curated record. The transcript has 2 exons. Lineage: Eukaryota; Viridiplantae; Streptophyta; Magnoliopsida; Malpighiales; Euphorbiaceae.